GGCGCUCACCACAACAUGGCCGCUCGGAGACUGGAGGACCGAGAUGUGUGAUCUAGAUCUAGGUCAGCGGCUGUCGAGGUGAUCACGUCUGCUGUCACCACAAGCUGGUACAGAGAGGGCGAUAUCAAAGCUGCUACCUUUGAGAACAAAUUAAAACCAUCAAACCUUUUUUAAAAUCUAAAAUGCAGAAAGACGGUGAUACUCACUAAAAGUUCUCCCAAUACAAGAAUCGAACUCAGAUCUUCAGCGUGCUGCAGCUAAGCGCUUAACCGUUACAGCACAGACGACGGCGAACUUUAAGUGGAAACAGUAGACAUACGACUACCAUGUGAAACAUUACUGACUACCUAUUUCAUUUUUUUUCACUGUUCAGUCUACGUUUAGUGUCGUUUAGUGCCCCAUGCUCAAUUUAAAUAAAAAAUCAUAGUAAACAGGCACAUGUACAUGAGAAACUCAAAUAAACUGAUCCCACAUCAAGGUGAAGACAUGACUAAAAAUACAAAAGUAAUUUACAUUG
Aplysia californica (California sea hare) is the source of this 517-nucleotide long non-coding RNA. RefSeq lists it as uncharacterized. NCBI's taxonomy places the organism in Eukaryota, Metazoa, Mollusca, Gastropoda, Aplysiida, Aplysiidae. The transcript has 2 exons. The record is from RefSeq and is a predicted model, not a curated record.